Pelodiscus sinensis (Chinese soft-shelled turtle) is the source of this 325-nucleotide non-coding RNA. The record is from RefSeq and is a predicted model, not a curated record. NCBI's taxonomy places the organism in Eukaryota, Metazoa, Chordata, Testudines, Trionychidae.
CACGGGCGCGGGGGAGCAGGUCUUUGGGGAACGCAGCUGCUGAUUGGCUCUUCGGGAGUCAGGGGCGGGAUCUCGCUUGAGGGAACUCGCCUGCUGAUUGGCUCUUGCCGUGGUCGCUGAGCGUUGAAUGAGAAGGCGCGAGCGAGCGGAGCUGCAAGCCACUGGCGCUAUGGACGCCGCCGUCAGGGCCCGGGAGCUUCUGGCUCAGCUGGAUGAGGUGCUGGCCUUUGAGGGGCAGACCCGAGAGGAGCUGGAGGCAGAGCUGCCAGCUAAAGUCCUGGUGGAGCAUGCAGUGGAUACGCGGAAGAAACAGAAGUGGAUUUGC